Molecule: unclassified non-coding RNA, 530 nt
Filed under: Hevea brasiliensis (rubber tree)
Lineage: Eukaryota; Viridiplantae; Streptophyta; Magnoliopsida; Malpighiales; Euphorbiaceae
Source: RNAcentral
GGGAAAAUUCUCUUGAUGAGGGAGAGAUAUGUGUCAGUGGAAGUUGUGUUGCUUCUGGAUACUUCAUUCAUCCUUCUAUUUUGUCACUGGAUAACGUGGAAUUACAUCAAGAAAUAACUGAUGGCAAGAAGGAUGAAAAUGAAGUUUACUUUAGAACCGGGGAUUUCAGCAGAAAGCUUUCAGAUGGAAACCUGGUUUAUAUUGGGAGAAGAGACCGCACAGUAAAGAUCUGCGGGCACCGUAUUGCCUUAGAGGAGGUCGAAAGCAUUCUGAGGGAACAUCAAGAAGUAGCUGAUUCUGCUGUGGUUUCUCGUUGCGUUCAAGGAGAUAUUUUAUUUCUUGAGGCAUAUUUACUGCUCAAGCAAAAGGAAAACAAUCUUGAGGUCUUCAAGUCCACAAUUAGAUGCUGGAUGGCCAGCAAACUUCCCCCAACUAUGAUUCCUGCUCGUUUCUACUUUGUUGAAUCUUUUCCUAGGUCUUCUUCAGGGAAAGUAGAUUACAAGAUGUUGGCCACUUUUGCAGCGUCUGAG